GCAUGCGAUCAUACCAGCACUAAAGCAUCGGAUCCCAUCAGAACUCCGAAGUUAAGCGUGCUUGGGCGAGAGUAGUACUAGGAUGGGUGACCUCCUGGGAAGUCCUCGUGUUGCAUCCC
This 119-nucleotide ribosomal RNA is filed under the name Oryza sativa Japonica Group (Japanese rice). Lineage: Eukaryota; Viridiplantae; Streptophyta; Magnoliopsida; Poales; Poaceae. The record is from RNAcentral.